GUGCCAGCCGCCGCGGUAAUACGGAGGGGGUUAGCGUUGUUCGGAAUUACUGGGCGUAAAGCGCACGUAGGCGGAUCAGAAAGUUGGGGGUUAAAUCCCGGGGCUCAACCCCGGAACUGCCUCCAAAACUACUGGUCUAGAGUUCGAGAGAGGUGAGUGGAAUUCCGAGUGUAGAGGUGAAAUUCGUAGAUAUUCGGAGGAACACCAGUGGCGAAGGCGGCUCACUGGAUCGAUACUGACGCUGAGGUGCGAAAGGGGGGGGAGCAAACAGGAUUAGAUACCCGAGUAGUCC
This 292-nucleotide ribosomal RNA is filed under the name uncultured bacterium. Its description in RNAcentral is "partial 16S ribosomal RNA". It matches the Rfam family "Bacterial small subunit ribosomal RNA", at positions 505 to 796 of the family's 1533-position model. The record is from RNAcentral.